RNAcentral lists this long non-coding RNA (511 nucleotides) under Nicotiana benthamiana. RNAcentral describes it as "long non-coding RNA (NBEN_LNC024346)". Lineage: Eukaryota; Viridiplantae; Streptophyta; Magnoliopsida; Solanales; Solanaceae. The record is from RNAcentral.
GAUUUUUUAAGACUUGUUACUAUUAUUAAACGUUAAGAAAAAAACUAUUUUGAUUACCCUACAGUUUGCCUAACGUUUCAAUGCAUUUCCUAUAGGCAUGAUUUCUAUAUGCUAUUAGUUUAUUAGUAGGUCCUAUAGGCAGGAUUUCUAAUGAUUUGCAACACGGCUGAACAUUAAAUCCUAUAGACAUGAUUUCUAAAUGCUUGAAUGAAAGGAAUGCAAAAGCCUAUAGACAUGAUCUCUAGGUGAUUUAAAGCGUUGAACCUAUAGGCAUGAUAUCUAAGUGAUUAAGUAACAACAAACAUAUAGGCAUGGUAUCUACCCUUUAGCAUAUGCAAGUAAUAUAAACCCCUCCCACACCCUUUUACUAAUAUUUUUCGAGUUCUUUUUACAAGGUUAUUACAAAAUUAGAAGAAAGAAGGUAAACAAAAUAGCUAGAUUCGAGAAACCUAAUUCAAUCUUAAUAUCAAAUACAUGUGUUUCACCAAAUUCGGAUUCCAGAUUCCAAGGC